Molecule: long non-coding RNA, 6123 nt
Organism: Passer domesticus (house sparrow)
Lineage: Eukaryota; Metazoa; Chordata; Aves; Passeriformes; Passeridae
Exons: 5
Source: RefSeq, a predicted model, not a curated record
GAACAGUGCCUGCCUGGAGUUUGAUAACAAAAAACUUCUGCAAAAAGAUGUCUUCUGUGUGAGCACCAAAACAGCUCCUGAGUGACGGGGGAGGAACUCUGGAGAAGAUGUCUGCCCCUGGCUGGUUUUGGUCGGAAGGUAGGCAAUAAGAGCCACAGCUACCCCGACGUAGAUGCCAGUUCCGAUUGUGAUGGACAGGACAGCCAGGAAGAGAGCUCGCCGGGAGCUGGAGCUUGCGUGGUGGAAAUCCCCCUUGGCUACUGCUUUGUUUGUCUGCAAGAGAUACAACAACAACAACGCCACAAGUUUAUUUGUUUUACCUGGUGGAAUAAAGCUGUACUUCGUGACUUGGAAAUAAAACUACAAGAUCAAAAGGACAAAGAGGAAUGAAGAGGAAAUUAUACAAGACACUUAUAAAGUUCCCUGGCCCAUGACCUCACCCAGGAUGCAGUCUCUGCUGGUACACAACAUACUCUAAAUGGCCAUUUCCUUGUGCAGACAAACAUUUCUCUGGAGACAUCUACCCAAAGGGAAAAGUUGGCAGGAGCAACGUCCAUGCACACGCAAAGCACUGGCUGGCAGCCAGCUCCCACUUGGACAGAUGAGAACUGGAGAUGCUGGGAACUCAUCAGCCCCAUUUCAGAACAGCUAUCUCUGUCUGCAGAACUGCCUGGGGGAAGAGGGGAGGAGAUCCUCUUCUACCCAACCCGGGAUGAAGCUUUCCUCUCUUCUCCCAAAGGACCAGAAGUCGCAAACUUCUUGAAUGUCUUAAACCACAACACAAGCUUUUUGCGAGGCCGAGGAUGUCACCCAAAUGUCCCUAACCAGGGGCCAGGGUCAUCUAUUUCUGAGCUGCUCUUCCAAGCACAGGAAAGCCAGCACUCUCUGAUGGUGACAUGUGUACCUGGCUCCUUCAGCAGGCAGCUUCUCUCUGUGUCGUGGCUGGGAAGAGAAGCCUUGCUAUUUUAUUCCCCUCUGCCUGGCAAAUCUACCACCUGCCUGAUGGCAGUAAGGGGAGGAGAGUGGGCAAGCAGCCAGCUGUGACCUCCUGCAAGAAGUCCAUGUCCUGGUGGCCUCCCAGGACCAGGGCUCUCAUGUGAGUACAGUGGCCACAGUGCCAGCACUGUGCCAUCUCAGCAAGACAGCAGCACUGAGCUCCUCUAGGACAACUUCUACAAAAGACCCUGGCAGUUCCUUGUGAGGAGGAACUCUUUUUAAACUAUUUUCACUCAUUCCUAGCACAACCGGGUUUAAUUGUUUUACAGAUCACCUUUUGCAGCAGAAAAAUUACAACAGUUCAGAAGGGUAAAAGGGCACCUGGGUGUGCCUGUACUCACAUGCAGAGAGCUGGACAAAGAACUCAGGGAUUUGCUUUUGGAGCGAGCAGCACAGAGAGCUCAAACCUUUGUGUGACAGUCAGCAGAGACUGGGCUGGGCAGCCCCAGAGUACACCCAGUGCCCUUUACCCAAUCUCUGUGACUCAAAGCAGCAGCCCUGCUUAAGCAAAAGAAUGGUGUGACUUGGUAUCUGGUCCAAGACAGCAAAACAAAGGCCUUUUAUUUUUAUUAAAGCUCAUCAUCUUUAGACAGCUCUUUUGUUCAAGCAUUACUUGGACCAAGAAAUAAUGCAGUGUGGAAAAAUCUCUUGAAAAUGCAAAAGCCUCCUGUCUGCUGUGCUAGCAUUGCUUCAGCAGUGCUGACCAGCAUAUCCUGCAAGUAUAGAUCUUGGCAUGUCACUGCCAAGUAAAGAAAAAUACCACAUUUCUUGUUCUUCCUUUGCCUUUUCUUCUUUGAUAUAAGAGGUUGCUGCAUCCCCUGUACAAACACACGCUCCUGGCUGCGUGUCAAGCUCUUUAUAAUAGACCAUAUUCAUUUUUUUACGGAGUAAAGUGGGACAGAUAAGAAAAAAAAGCAGGGUGGAUGGAUAAGAGCAGGGCAUCACCAGCCAGUGUGGUGGAGUGUGGCAGAUCAUACUGCUGUUCUGUCUCAUUGUUCUCCCUGUUGAUAUGGGGCCUAUGAGCCAACUUUCUAAGGAACAAACAGCAGAUAACACCUGGCUGGUAUUUCUCUCUCCUCUUCUUUUGAAGUUGGAUGUCAAAACCUUAUGCCAGAAAAGCAAGGACAGUGAAAUCCAUACAUGUAUGCUGAGCACUGAAACGCUGAAAAAAGCUAGAAUUCAUAUUAUUUUCUACCUUGCAGUGGGAACACGAACCUUCUUUCCUUCUCCCCAGCGACUACUGAAAUAUGUCAGAAUACAGAUAUUUUCCUAAAGCCCCUGUCUCUGAAAACUGGAUGAAAAGCAACCAAACUUCAGAAGUUAUCACGAAGAAAGACAAGCUACUCUUUUUUUUCUGCUCACGUAGGCCUUGUUUCCCUGUGAAAACUGUAGAAAAUCCUUUAACCCAGUGAGACAAUGCGAGCAAAUAAUUACAAAGCUUUGCAUCCCCGCAUCCCCCUGCGAGGGAGGUAAUUACAGCAGGGAGCCAGAGCAGCAGAAGGGAAGUGAUUGCUCCCUCAUGCUCCCAGUGCAGUCUGCUGCCUGGCAGGUCUCACCUGCUGCUGGGGAGGAGGGAGGGUGUGGAGGCUAUUUGAGAACCUAAGCACGUGGAGAAGUGUGCAGAGGGAUUUUUUCCAGGUGUGUGUCCAGGUGAGUGGCACAGGUCCUAGGAAGGUUCAUGGGAGUUGGGUGCACACUCUUGUUUCUGCCUAUAAGGGAGCAGGCACAAAGUGAAGCUCAUUCAUAGCAUCAAAGGCUCAGCCCUCUCAUAAUGAAUUUCUGUUUACAGUAGGGAGGGAAACGUGUGACAUGGUAUUGCUCUCUUUCCUAAAAAUAAAAGCAGGGAGAAAAAGAGGAUUCAUGCAAAAAGACCUUUCAAGAUUGUUAUCACCACCCCCCAGCCCAAGCAGAGAGCCUGACAGCCCCUGAGAAAUCAUCUGACAAGUUCAACGGUAAACUUGACAAGACAAAAAAGAUAUAUUUUUAAAGUUCUUUCUUUGAUUUAUGAGGCUUCACACUUGCCUACAAUCUACAAUGCUAAAAAUAUCUUUGGAAAUAAAAACUGAGGAACCCGCAAGACUCCAGAGGGUGGAGAUUUAUGAAAAAAUAAACAUAAUGAGGUGGGUUUUUGAUCACACACUGCUAGUUGGGGAAGAGUUUUUGGUGAAAGACAUAAUUUAUUUUCCUCUUUCCAAAAGUUUCCUUACAAAAUGCACAAAAAACUCCUUUGAUUGAGCUCUUCAACUGUUGACUAAUGAGACAAUCCAAAAAAUGGCAAGCCUAAAAACUCACAUGACUCAUUCUGGAGAAGCAAAUGUGAGAGAAAACAGGACACAGGGCCCCAUCCUGAGAGUGGAGCUGAGAGGAGCACAGGACUGGGCAGCUAGAGGAAGUGGGGGCAAGACUCUUGUGGGAAGGAAAACACAAAUAAAACCAGAAGGAAAUAACUGAACAAGUGGACAGCACAGUGAUGGCCUCAAAGCUCUGUGUUUUUCUGAGGGAAGAUGAAAAGCAGCAAGUUCCAGCUUUGCCUGGGAUAAGAUCACCAGGCGACAUCCUGCCUGGAAAACUGGAUAUCCCAAUGGGAAAAAAAAAACAUGUUGAGCUUUCAUAAAUUGCAUUUCUGAAUUCACUGCUCCUCCCUGCUGGCUCACCUGUGGAUGCACAUCUUCACUGCCACCACAGAGGCAGACCCUGCAUGGCUGCACCCCUCAAUGCACAGGCUCUGCAAGAAGCCCCAGGUCAGCAGCACAUUGGCAAGAGCCUUGGCGGAGACAGCAGAUCCCACACAGAGCAGAAACAUCACCUGCAGGAGAAACUUGGCUUUCAUGGAGCACAAACCCCCCCAGAAUUCAAUCAUUCUGUUGGUAAGGAGCACCUCUGCUGCCUUACAGCAUCCAGCCUUGUGUAAUUGUUUUGCAGCAUGACACAGGCGUAUGCGUCAUAAGCGUGCUGGCAGGUGAUGCAGGAACACACAGAGCACCUAUGCCUGUGGAUUGAGCUGUACUGCAGAUACAUCUGCUGCAAACAAAGGCUUCAUCUUCAAAUGCGUCCCACACCUAGAGCAGACCAGAUUUUUAAAACAAAAUUCACUGCCAGUGCUGUAUACUGCAUCAAAGAACCCAUCCCCCGUCUCUGGAUUUCCUGCGUGCUAUGAUUUAUUCCCAGAUGGCCUUUUUGGUACAACUGCUCAGGAAACUUUGGAAAACACAGAAUUUUCAAGAGCUCAAGCAACUGCAGAAAAAGAGGACAACCACUAAUUGUUACAGAGGCUUCCCAGAGCAAAGACAGACUGUUCAUUUGAAGUAAAAGCAAAAAACAACAACAACAACAAAAAGUAGCUCUCUGUCUCUUUUUGAGUUUUUGGUUUUUGAUCUUGAAGAGCAGGAUUCUUCAGAUCUGAAGAGCCUGCUCUAGUUUGACAAAUCAGCAGGGCUGGUAGAUGUUUAGUGCAGGCAGAUUAGAAAGACAGCUGAGAGGGUGAAUGUGAAGGGUGCUGUGGAGCAGAGACUGUAGUUUGCAAUAGGCACUAGAGAGAAAUAUAAUCAAAUGUUUCCUCGCAGUCGCUGAUGAGGCUGCCAGUGUGACGCCUUCUCUGUCACCUCACAUUAUCUGCCAUGCUGGGAAACUCAGUAAUUACACUGCAGACACUUAUGAAGACAUACUUGUUGAAACAAAUGAUGGGCACGAGGUGAUUGCGAGUUAAGCAAUGUUAAGACUGCCUCGUGAAGAAAACAAACCAAAACACAGUCACUUCUUUGCUAAAAAAGAUAUUUGCAUAUUAAAAUUUGAAAGGGAGAACUGACUGAGCAGUUUUUCCUUUUCCAUGGGAAAGGAAAUGGUUUCUGGAAAGCAAAUUCACAUCUGCAGAACAGAAAUUAUUUUUAUACUCCUGGAAGGAUAUUCUAGAUUAUCAGCUUGGGACAAGUAGAACUGUUUUCCCAAUGGGAAAGCCAAGCAUUUGUGCAAUCAAUGGUGUUUUCUAUUAAAAAGCCAUCUCCACAGAGGAUUCUUAGCUGGACAUAUAACCUGACAUUUGCCAACUAAAAGCUAAAAUAAUUUGCAGACACCUCCCUCAGUGAAGUAUCUCAAAAGGCAGCCACCACUACCACAGAGGCACAUCCAGGUGGGGAAGAUGCCUUCCCCUUGAACCACCUCAAGAAUGCCUGGCAGGAGAGGUUUUAACAUUACCUCAUGGGACAGGUAAAAGGCAGCAAUUCCCAGUGGCCAGAAGCAGCAGAGCAUGGAGAACACAGUGAGGCCAAGAUGAUCCCUUGGUGGCAUCAUCAGGAAGUUGUCUUCACUCUCGGUGUCACUCGAGUAAUCGCUCUGGAGCGGCAAAAGAGAAACCCAGAUGUGCUGGUUAAUGACAUUAUUGCUUUUCCUCUGCCAUCAGCCAAUCCCCGGAUCAUUUGCCCACUUCUCCCCCUCCACCACAGCAGUGGCCAGCAGCUCUCCUCUUCCUCACCCACUGCGUCACAGAGUCCAUCACUGUUGCAUGAGCUUGAAAGCAAGAAAAGACAAAUGUAAAGAUAUCGCUGCAGGGAGCUGAAAAGGAAGCCCACUAAAGGAGGGGGCUCUGUAGUCAGACGAAUAUUUCCUUUCAAAAAUACAGGAGGAGAAGGAGAUGGAGAAAAUCCACAGCAUUGCUGAAACCACCCCUUGAAACUGUGCACUCACCUGAACAGGCCAAAUUGACCCACCUAGGAGUUACCAAGUGUGAGAGAACAAUUCUAAUCAUAAAGUCCUGACCAUGCAGACCAACUGUGAACCAGAAGGGUGAAAAAAAGUCAGAAAUCCCAGAAAGAAAUCCAACAGCAAAAGGUACCUCAACUCUUCCAGUUAACACUCCUUUCCCCAAGCAAACCUUCCUUCUCAACAUUCUCUCUCACAACAGGACACCUCAUCCUGAGCUUACCAAGAAAUCUUCUCCAUUCAGAACCCCUCCUGACAUUGGGAUCAUUGAUAAUUUGGCUACCUAGCUCUCUGUCUUCACUUAUUCCUGGACCUGCAAGAACUGCACCCUGACACUGAAGAAGCUGGAUAUUAUUCUUGUUGAGAAGUCAGAAUUAUAUUCAUUAGUUAGAGUUCCCUUCCCUUCCCUUCCCUUCCCUUCCCUUCCCUUCC